RNAcentral lists this ribosomal RNA (253 nucleotides) under uncultured bacterium. RNAcentral's name for it is "partial 16S ribosomal RNA". It matches the Rfam family "Bacterial small subunit ribosomal RNA", at positions 524 to 776 of the family's 1533-position model. The record is from RNAcentral.
UACGUAGGUGGCGAGCGUUGUCCGGAAUUACUGGGUGUAAAGGGCGUGUAGGCGGGGGAUCAAGUCAGAUGUGAAAUUCCAGAGCUUAACUCUGGCGCUGCAUCUGAAACUGGACUUCUUGAGUGCUGGAGAGGAAAGCGGAAUUCCUAGUGUAGCGGUGAAAUGCGUAGAUAUUAGGAGGAACACCAGUGGCGAAGGCGGCUUUCUGGACAGUAACUGACGCUGAGGCGCGAAAGCGUGGGGAGCAAACAGG